Long non-coding RNA from Rhinopithecus roxellana (golden snub-nosed monkey), 673 nucleotides. RefSeq lists it as uncharacterized. The record is from RefSeq and is a predicted model, not a curated record. The transcript has 3 exons. Lineage: Eukaryota; Metazoa; Chordata; Mammalia; Primates; Cercopithecidae.
CUCCUGGCCUCAAGUGAUCCUCCUGCUUUGGCCUCCCAAAGUGCUGAGAUUACAGGUCUCUCCCAACCGAUUCCUGUCCCACGCACGCAAUUCUCAAGCUUUAUGGAACUGGAGCCCCAGGGAUGAGGGACAAAGGAUGGAAAUGGAGAUGGAGCCUUGCUAUGUUGCCCAGGCUGGUCUCCAACUCCUGGUCUUAAGCGACCGUCCUGCUUUAGCCUCGCAAAGCACUGGGAUUACAGGCAUGAGCCACCGCACCCAGCCAAUGUUCUCACACUUUCUGAGUACACUUUCCCUCAAUCUGUCUUGAGUCUCCUGUUCUAUGACCAGCAGACAUUUCUUACAGAAGCAGGUGGCAGAGAAACAAGAGGAGGGGGCAUGGUGAGCAGCAGAGAGGCUGGUGGGGAGCCUGAGAUCAAGGUAGGCUAGCUUGCCACAGGGUCUUUGGGACAUGGUGGGGAUUCAGGGUGGGAAUGAAUUCACAGAGAAGGAAAGGGAGGUCAUGGUGCAGUGUGAGCACAGAGGACUGUGGGUUGGGUCCUGCCCUUCUGGGUUUCACAGAGCAACACCAAGCACAGACUCAGCAGCAUGAGCAGGGGCACAGGGUCCUGUCCACACCAGCCUCUCCAGCCUGGGGCAGGAGGGAGGAGGGCUGACCUGCUCUUACCUUGAGAAC